This 30-nucleotide non-coding RNA is filed under the name Mus musculus (house mouse). Lineage: Eukaryota; Metazoa; Chordata; Mammalia; Rodentia; Muridae. The record is from RNAcentral.
UAACCCACGAGAACUUCCUGCUGUUUGCCU